Molecule: ribosomal RNA, 445 nt
Filed under: uncultured bacterium
Lineage: Bacteria
Description: partial 16S ribosomal RNA
Rfam family: Bacterial small subunit ribosomal RNA
Source: RNAcentral
GUGAGGAAUAUUGCGCAAUGGAGGCAACUCUGACGCAGCCAUGCCGCGUGCAGGAAGAAGGCGCUACGCGUUGUAAACUGCUUUUAACCGGGAAGAAACCCCAGGACGUGUCCUGGGUUGACGGUACCGGAGGAAUAAGCACCGGCUAACUUCGUGCCAGCAGCCGCGGUAAUACGAAGGGUGCAAGCGUUAUCCGGAUUCAUUGGGUUUAAAGGGUGCGUAGGCGGAGCGUUAAGUCAGUGGUGAAAUCCUGCAGCUUAACUGUAGACUUGCCAUUGAUACUGGCGCUCUUGAGUGCGCUUGAAGUGGGCGGAAUGUGCCAUGUAGCGGUGAAAUGCUUAGAUAUGGCACAGAACACCAAUUGCGAAGGCAGCUCACUAAGGCGAUACUGACGCUGAGGCACGAAAGCGUGGGGAUCGAACAGGAUUAGAAACCCCGGUAGUCC